This 439-nucleotide unclassified non-coding RNA is filed under the name Hevea brasiliensis (rubber tree). Lineage: Eukaryota; Viridiplantae; Streptophyta; Magnoliopsida; Malpighiales; Euphorbiaceae. The record is from RNAcentral.
GGGAGAGACUGCAGAUGGCUGCACCUUCGCGCGCCUUGCCGGUGCCAACGCCCGAAACCCAGCAUUUCUGGGACGGCACACAGUCAGGGGAACUUCGUCUGCAGCGCUGCGACGAUUGCUCCAACGUCUAUUUCCCGCCCCGCCCGUUCUGCCCGUCCUGUGCGUCGCGCAAGGUCAGCGUCUUCAAGGCCAGCGGCAAAGGCAAGCUCUACAGCUACGUGAUCAAUCAUCGCCCCGCCGCGCCGGGAUUUCCCCCGCCUUACGCCAUCGCCGUGGUUGAACUCGAUGAAGGUCCGCGGAUGAUGAGCAAUAUUCUCGAUUGCCCGCAGACGCCCGAAGCGCUCGUGCUCGACAUGAAACUCGAAGUCGCAUUCGAGAAAGUCAGCGACAAGAUCACCCUUCCCCAGUUCCGCCCGGCGAAGGGUUAAGACCAUGCGCA